Molecule: long non-coding RNA, 306 nt
Filed under: Homo sapiens (human)
Lineage: Eukaryota; Metazoa; Chordata; Mammalia; Primates; Hominidae
Description: HSALNT0295855
Source: RNAcentral
GGAAAGAGGGUUGAAGAAACUAUGAUUUCUUCUGGAACCAAAGGAUUGGCUCCUAGCUGUUCAGGGGAAGAGAGCUGGAAGCUGGGGACUGAUAUCAAGGAUGAGAGGGCCUGGAGCUGGGCAGUCCCAUGGUGGUCCACGAUGAGGCGGAGGACAAUAUUCAUGCCAUCACGACUCACCAGAGCUAAGUCCCGGUAACACUGUGAGAAGUAAAGUUUGUGAUCAGCCAGCAAGCUGAGGAUAAGGUCCUCACCCCACCCACAGUGGACCCCUUGCCCUCUAAUCCCUUAAACUUAAAUAACACCA